RNAcentral lists this non-coding RNA (28 nucleotides) under Bombyx mori (domestic silkworm). The record is from RNAcentral. Lineage: Eukaryota; Metazoa; Arthropoda; Insecta; Lepidoptera; Bombycidae.
ACUGUAACUAUGUAACCCAUGUACAGAA